Molecule: ribosomal RNA, 403 nt
Filed under: uncultured bacterium
Lineage: Bacteria
Description: partial 16S ribosomal RNA
Rfam family: Bacterial small subunit ribosomal RNA
Source: RNAcentral
GAUGAACGCUGACAGAAUGCUUAACACAUGCAAGUCAACGUGCCUGACGGGUGAGUAACGCGUAAAGAACAUGCCUCACAGAUAGGGACAACAUGUGGAAACGAAUGCGAAAACCUGAUACUGUGAGAGAUCUUUGCGUCCCAUUAGCAGGUUUGAGAGGUAACGGAUCACCAGGGCGAUGAUGGGUAGCCGGCCUGAGAGGGUGAUCGGCCACAAGGGGACUGGGACACGGCCCUUAAUGCAAGUGUAGGCAUGAGUGGGGAAAAUUGGAAGAUGUGCCAAAGUCUGAUCCAGCAAUUCUGGGUGCACGAUGAUUUUUUCGGAAUGUAAAGUGCUUUCAGUUGAGAAGCGGUACCAACAGAAUAAGUGCCGGCUAAAUACGUGCCAGCAGCCGCGGUAAUAC